Molecule: long non-coding RNA, 264 nt
Organism: Malania oleifera
Lineage: Eukaryota; Viridiplantae; Streptophyta; Magnoliopsida; Santalales; Ximeniaceae
Exons: 3
Source: RefSeq, a predicted model, not a curated record
AAUCGCUCUCUCGCGAGGCACAGUGUCUCUUCACGUCUUCUGCCGCCGCCGUAUGGACAAGUGGGCGAUUCUCUUCGUCUCUCACAGGCUCCCAAGCGAAUCUGCUUGAUCAAGACUUCUGCUGUGAUGAAUGGCAGCAGCUAAACAAUUCAUACUUUCCUCACGUAAGGCCCGCUCCACCUGGUCCGGACGCCAGGGAGCACUCUACUCUACCUGUGGCAUAAUCGGCAUUCAACGCCAUACUCUAUCUGAGACGUAAGGUUG